This 189-nucleotide non-coding RNA is filed under the name Bacillus cereus. Lineage: Bacteria; Bacillati; Bacillota; Bacilli; Caryophanales; Bacillaceae. The record is from RNAcentral.
CCUUUCAAAAGGAAAAUAGGUACACGAAAAUUUCGUUUCGUGUUUAAAAGGGAAGCUUGGUGAAACUCCAACACGGUCCCGCCACUGUAAAUGCUGAGAUUUCUUUGUUAGUGCCACUGUGAGAACGGGAAGGUGAAAGAAAUUAUAUGAAGCAUAAGUCAGGAGACCUGCCUGUUUUAACAACACUGA